Non-coding RNA from Mycena leptocephala, 91 nucleotides. The record is from the annotation of a GenBank genome assembly. Lineage: Eukaryota; Fungi; Basidiomycota; Agaricomycetes; Agaricales; Mycenaceae.
GGCUCGGUGGCGCAUGGCCGCGCAUUCACUACUAUUGGAAGACCAACUUGGAAUCUAUGUAGAGACUCCCGUUCGAUUCGGGGCUGGGCCG